GACGAACGCUGGCGGCGUGCUUAACACAUGCAAGUCGAACGUGAUUUUUGUGGAAAUUCUUUCGGGAAUGGAAAUGAAAUGAAAGUGGCGAACGGGUGAGUAACACGUGAGCAACCUACCUUACACAGGGGGAUAGCCGUUGGAAACGACGAUUAAUACCGCAUGAGACCGCAGAAUCGCAUGAUAUAGGGGUCAAAGAUUUAUCGGUGUAAGAAGGGCUCGCGUCUGAUUAGCUAGUUGGAAGGGUAAAGGCCUACCAAGGCGACGAUCAGUAGCCGGUCUGAGAGGAUGAACGGCCACAUUGGAACUGAGACACGGUCCAAACUCCUACGGGAGGCAGCAGUGGGGAAUAUUGCACAAUGGGGGGAACCCUGAUGCAGCGACGCCGCGUGAGCGAAGAAGGUUUUCGAAUCGUAAAGCUCUGUCCUAUGAGAAGAUAAUGACGGUAUCAUAGGAGGAAGCCCCGGCUAAAUACGUGCCAGCAGCCGCGGUAAUACGUAUGGGGCGAGCGUUGUCCGGAAUUAUUGGGCGUACAGGGUACGUAGGCGGUUUUUUAAGUCAGGUGUGAAAGCGUGAGGCUUAACCUCAUUAAGCACUUGAAACUGGAAGACUUGAGUGAAGGAGAGGAAAGUGGAAUUCCUAGUGUAGCGGUGAAAUGCGUACAUAUUAGGAGGAAUACCGGUGGCGAAGGCGACUUUCUGGACUUUUACUGACGCUCAGGUACGAAAGCGUGGGGAGCAAACGUGG
This 747-nucleotide ribosomal RNA is filed under the name uncultured Parvimonas sp. Its description in RNAcentral is "bacterial SSU rRNA". It matches the Rfam family "Bacterial small subunit ribosomal RNA", at positions 28 to 777 of the family's 1533-position model. Lineage: Bacteria; Bacillati; Bacillota; Tissierellia; Tissierellales; Peptoniphilaceae. The record is from RNAcentral.